This 497-nucleotide ribosomal RNA is filed under the name uncultured bacterium. Its description in RNAcentral is "partial 16S ribosomal RNA". It matches the Rfam family "Bacterial small subunit ribosomal RNA", at positions 28 to 507 of the family's 1533-position model. The record is from RNAcentral.
GAUGAACGCUGGCGGCGUGCCUAAUACAUGCAAGUCGAGCGAACAGACGAGGAGCUUGCUCCUUCGACGUUAGCGGCGGACGGGUGAGUAACACGUAGGUAACCUACCUAUAAGACUGGGAUAACUUCGGGAAACCGGAGCUAAUACCGGAUAAUAUUUCGAACCGCAUGGUUCGAUAGUGAAAGAUGGCUUUGCUAUCACUUAUAGAUGGACCUGCGCCGCAUUAGCUAGUUGGUAAGGUAACGGCUUACCAAGGCAACGAUACGUAGCCGACCUGAGAGGGUGAUCGGCCACACUGGAACUGAGACACGGUCCAGACUCCUACGGGAGGCAGCAGUAGGGAAUCUUCCGCAAUGGGCGAAAGCCUGACGGAGCAACGCCGCGUGAGUGAUGAAGGUCUUCGGAUCGUAAAACUCUGUUAUUAGGGAAGAACAAAUGUGUAAGUAACUGUGCACGUCUUGACGGUACCUAAUCAGAAAGCCACGGCUAACUACGUG